Molecule: transfer RNA, 24 nt
Filed under: Pagothenia borchgrevinki (bald rockcod)
Lineage: Eukaryota; Metazoa; Chordata; Actinopteri; Perciformes; Nototheniidae
Description: partial tRNA-Glu
Source: RNAcentral
CAGGUUAGAGCCCUGGCAAGAAUU